This 384-nucleotide long non-coding RNA is filed under the name Ananas comosus (pineapple). Its description in RNAcentral is "long non-coding RNA (ACOM_LNC039903)". The record is from RNAcentral. Lineage: Eukaryota; Viridiplantae; Streptophyta; Magnoliopsida; Poales; Bromeliaceae.
AAUGAGGCGAGGCUUCUUGGGGGCAGAGGUGGAGGCGGAGGAGCCGGCGCCGAGGUUGGCGGUGGUGGUGAGCUGCUGGCGCUCGCGGCGGCGGACGGCGGGGAGAGGGCGGCGCCGGGCUUGAGGAAAAUGAGGCCAAGUUGGGAGAGAAAGAGAUGAUAACUUAAGGAAAUAGUUUAAUAAGGUAGGGGCAAAAUAGGUAUUUUAAUUAGGUUUUAACUUUGGUAUACAUUUAACCCAUGUUUAACCCGAGUUAGUUUAACAGUGGAUAACUGCGGGGGUAUUUUGGAAUAACGGUGGAACAUAUGAGAGGUAUUUUUAGAAAGAAAAAAAAGGGGUAAAUCGGAUAUUUUCAAACGUAUGAGGGGUAUAUAGGCAAUUAUU